RNAcentral lists this unclassified non-coding RNA (227 nucleotides) under Hevea brasiliensis (rubber tree). The record is from RNAcentral. Lineage: Eukaryota; Viridiplantae; Streptophyta; Magnoliopsida; Malpighiales; Euphorbiaceae.
AAUGCCGCUUCAUCGAUUCAAAGCCGGAUCGGGAAGCCUGCUAUGACCGUCAAGCCAAGGCGCUCGCCGCUAAAAAGGCGGAAGCUGAGGCAAAGCCAAAGCCGGUGGACUCUUUGGAGCGGAUGAAAGCGGAAGACGAAAUGCUGUCUCGCCGCCUGAGGAGCAUCUGCCGGGGAUGCUGAAGCAGGCCCCUGGAUGGUUGCAGGCCGGACGAUCGUCUUGGAGGC